RNAcentral lists this transfer RNA (72 nucleotides) under Heterocephalus glaber (naked mole-rat). It matches the Rfam family "tRNA". Rfam says of the family: Transfer RNA (tRNA) molecules are approximately 80 nucleotides in length. The record is from Rfam by way of RNAcentral. Lineage: Eukaryota; Metazoa; Chordata; Mammalia; Rodentia; Bathyergidae.
GCUGAUUUAGCUCAGUGGUGCAGCACUUGCCUCGUAAGCACAAGGUCCUGAGUUCAAGCCUCAGUAACACCA